UAAUACGUAGGGUGCGAGCGUUAAUCGGAAUUACUGGGCGUAAAGCGUGCGCAGGCGGUUAUAUAAGACAGAUGUGAAAUCCCCGGGCUCAACCUGGGAACUGCAUUAGUGACUGUAUAGCUGGAGUGCGGCAGAGGGGGAUGGAAUUCCGCGUGUAGCAGUGAAAUGCGUAGAUAUGCGGAGGAACACCGAUGGCGAAGGCAAUCCCCUGGGCCUGCACUGACGCUCAUGCACGAAAGCGUGGGGAGCAAACAGGAUUAGAUACCCUGGUAGUCCACGCCCUAAACGAUGUCAACUGGUUGUUGGGAAUUCACUUUCUCAGUAACGAAGCUAACGCGUGAAGUUGACCGCCUGGGGAGUACGGCCGCAAGGUUAAAACUUAAAUGAAUUGACGG
RNAcentral lists this ribosomal RNA (395 nucleotides) under bacterium enrichment culture. RNAcentral describes it as "bacterial SSU rRNA". It matches the Rfam family "Bacterial small subunit ribosomal RNA", at positions 521 to 916 of the family's 1533-position model. The record is from RNAcentral.